Molecule: ribosomal RNA, 253 nt
Filed under: uncultured bacterium
Lineage: Bacteria
Description: partial 16S ribosomal RNA
Rfam family: Bacterial small subunit ribosomal RNA
Source: RNAcentral
UACGAAGGGGGCUAGCGUUGCUCGGAAUCACUGGGCGUAAAGCGCACGUAGGCGGAUUGCUAAGUCAGGGGUGAAAUCCUGGAGCUCAACUCCAGAACUGCCUUUGAUACUGGCGAUCUCGAGUCCGGGAGAGGUGAGUGGAAUUCCUAGUGUAGAGGUGAAAUUCGUAGAUAUUAGGAAGAACACCAGUGGCGAAGGCGGCUCACUGGCCCGGUACUGACGCUGAGGCGCGAAAGCGUGGGGAGCAAACAGG